Long non-coding RNA from Bombyx mori (domestic silkworm), 1348 nucleotides. RefSeq lists it as uncharacterized. The record is from RefSeq and is a predicted model, not a curated record. The transcript has 2 exons. NCBI's taxonomy places the organism in Eukaryota, Metazoa, Arthropoda, Insecta, Lepidoptera, Bombycidae.
GAAGUUAGCCCCUCAAAAAAAUUUUUCUUUCCUAUUUUCUACUUAUUUUCUAUUAAUUCGUUUGUUCAUCAUUUGUUCUUGAUUGUUCACUGUUAAUAAUUGUUUGUUCUGCAUUUAUUUAUUUUAAAAAAAUUAUUAAAAAUAUAUGUACAAGUUAGCCCCUCGAUUGCAAUUUUUAAUAUUUUUUCGUCCUUAAUGACUCGUAAAUAUUCAUUUUCGAUUGUUCUUAUAUAAAACACGUUUGUUCUCUUUCGAAAUUACUCGUUUUUUGUUUAAUUUACUAUUUGUAUUAGUUGAUUAAAUGUAUGCAAAAUAUGGGUACUGCGCAUGCGUCAACUAUAAUGCCUAAACUUUGUACCGUCUACGCGGUUUUAAUCGAGAGAAAAAAAAAACAAAUAUAAAUCCUGAAGGAGCAAUUGAUUGGUAUACAGUUUAAUUAAAAAAAAUUAAAAAUAAAUAUAUGAAAUAAUGUACAUUGGCGUAAAGUUAGACCAAAUACAUUUUUCCAUCCUCCUACCUAUCGUUAUGAAGGUAUAAAAAAGAUAGGGAGUUCACAUAGGUAAUAUAAACAAAUAAGUCAAUAAUAUGUUCAUUAUUUAUCUUUCAAGAGAUAAUGUAGGUAUACAUUAUAAUAACUUUUUUACACAGUCGAAAUUAUAUUCUUAACAUUAGUAAAAUAACAUUUUAAUAUUUUUUUUAUAGGUUAUGUAUUGAAAGUGUUGGAAAAUUAUUUCAUGUCUUAGUUGGAAAACGACAUUGAGAAUUAUAUGCAAUACAAGAUAAUGGGCUCCAUCAAAUGAAUUCGAAUGAAACCAAACUGUUUACCAUCCAAAUUCGAUUGUCGGGCAGAUAGAAAACGAAAAUUCACUCAAAGUGAACCUCGAGCUGCAUUUGUGAAACGGCAAAGACUCACUAUUGUCAAGGAGAUUGAAGAGACGACUAAAAAUGAGAUGUGUUAUAUUAUUAUACCUUUGCCAUCUUGUAGUCAAGAUGUCCAGCCACUUGAAAAUAGGUGUAGUAAUGACAAAGCUAUCCAAGUAGCUCCAGCACAGGAACACAAAGGCAAGGCAAGUGUGUAUUGCCACAUCACCCCUAAAUAUAUCUGAAGCAAGUACAAGUAAACAAUCAGAACCAGCAAAAAGAAAACUGUUGUUCCUGAGGACAAAUUUGACAGCGAUGAGUCAAAUGCACCAGCAACAGAAGGAUCAACAGUUGACUAUGAGUUAUAGAAGAAGAUUAAUUAAUAUUUAUUUAAAUGAAUAUUAAUGAAUAUUAAUUUUAAUUAUCGUGCAAAAUUUGUGGUCAAAACAUAUAUGUGUAUUUUAUAAAUAAAUAUUCAUUCUCAGUA